Molecule: ribosomal RNA, 253 nt
Filed under: uncultured bacterium
Lineage: Bacteria
Description: partial 16S ribosomal RNA
Rfam family: Bacterial small subunit ribosomal RNA
Source: RNAcentral
UACGUAGGUGGCAAGCGUUGUCCGGAUUUACUGGGCGUAAAGAGCGCGCAGGCGGUCGUUCAAGUCGCGUGUGAAAUCCCCCGGCUCAACCGGGGAAGUGGCGGGGAUACGGCCGGCCUCGAGGGGGGUAGGGGGACCUGGAACUUCCGGUGGAGCGGUGAAAUGCGUUGAGAUCGGAAGGAACGCCCGUGGCGAAAGCGAGGUCCUGGACCCUUUCUGACGCUGAGACGCGAAAGCCAGGGGAGCGAACGGG